GGUUGAUCCUGCCAGUAGUCAUAUGCUUGUCUCAAAGAUUAAGCCUUGCAUGUAUAAGUAUGAACUAAUUCAGACUGUGAAACUGCGAAUGGCUCAUUAAAUCAGUUAUAGUUUGUUUGAUGGUAUUUGCUACUCGGAUAACCGUAGAGCUAAUACGUGCAACAAACCCCGACUUCUGGAAGGGAUGCAUUUAUUAGAUAAAAGGUCGACGCGGGCCCUUGUGCCGGCGACGCAUCAUUCAAAUUUCUGCCCUAUCAACUUUCGAUGGUAGGAUAGUGGCCUACUAUGGUGG
RNAcentral lists this ribosomal RNA (292 nucleotides) under uncultured eukaryote. RNAcentral's name for it is "partial 18S ribosomal RNA". It matches the Rfam family "Eukaryotic small subunit ribosomal RNA", at positions 6 to 352 of the family's 1831-position model. The record is from RNAcentral.